ACAAAGAAGAGUUUGAUCCUGGCUCAGGAUGAACGCUAGCGAUAGGCCUAACACAUGCAAGUCGAGGGGCAGCAUAGAGUAGCAAUACUUUGAUGGCGACCGGCGCACGGGUGAGUAACACGUAUGCAACCUACCUACAUCAGGGGAAUAACCCGGAGAAAUUCGGACUAAUACCGCAUAA
Molecule: non-coding RNA, 181 nt
Filed under: Dysgonomonas mossii DSM 22836
Lineage: Bacteria; Pseudomonadati; Bacteroidota; Bacteroidia; Bacteroidales; Dysgonomonadaceae
Description: Bacterial small subunit ribosomal RNA
Rfam family: Bacterial small subunit ribosomal RNA
Source: Rfam by way of RNAcentral